Molecule: long non-coding RNA, 533 nt
Filed under: Ananas comosus (pineapple)
Lineage: Eukaryota; Viridiplantae; Streptophyta; Magnoliopsida; Poales; Bromeliaceae
Description: long non-coding RNA (ACOM_LNC013025)
Source: RNAcentral
CAAAUAUUUCAGUCAUGUAGGCCGAAAUCUCGAAUUUUCACUACAACUGAAUUAGAUUAUAAGAACAUAUUUUUGAAACACUUUUAUAUAAGUGUUCUAUUUAUGCCAAAAAAAAUUUAAAAAAUCUAAAUAUAAAACCCAAUCCACUCAAAAAAAAAAAAAAAAUUUCUCUACUCAGCCAAUCACACCUAGUCUACUCGGCCCGAGUACAAAUUAAAAAAAAAAAAUUAAUCACCACCUCCCCUUCUCCUCUGCUGUCGCAGCCGACGAAAUAGGGUUUCGACGGCUGGAGUUCGGCCGCGAGUAUCUCGCAGGGACCGUAAAAGGCUACGAUUGCGACGUAUUCCUCCGCCACAUAUCGCUGGAGCAGUGGGUGCCAAAUAUCAAGAUGGUCCUAUCUAUAGCGAUUCCACAUAUAGCAAUAUUUUUAAAAAGUGCUGGUAAUUUAGUUAGCAAUAUAUUUUUUUUAACUUGUACCGAUUUUUAAAACUGUCGCUAUGCAUUAUUUUUGUUGUAGUGUUUAAAAGUUCAGU